Long non-coding RNA from Aphidius gifuensis, 566 nucleotides. RefSeq lists it as uncharacterized. The record is from RefSeq and is a predicted model, not a curated record. Lineage: Eukaryota; Metazoa; Arthropoda; Insecta; Hymenoptera; Braconidae. The transcript is spliced from 3 exons.
AAUUCAUUUUAAACUGCUACAACCAUCGAUCAAGUUGUUUAUUUCGCAAAGGAUAGAGAAAUGACGCAAAGAAAAAUGAAAAAGAUAAAAAAAAAAAAAUGUAGUUGAAAAAGGAAAAUAAUGUAAAGAGGUAGUUAGUUGUGCGAUUAUUGGAAUACGAUGGUCUUGGACUAAAUACGUCUGUUGAAAAGAUGGUGCACACAGAUGUGGAUGUGAUGGGUAACGUGCCAAAAAUGUGCCAACACGAAAAAGAGAUAUGGCUAUGAUGAAAAAAUUAUAUAUAUCUUGUCUGAGAUGAAAAUUAGAUGAGGGGAGGAGGUGAGCUGAUUGGAUCAUGAACUGCUGUCACUCUUGGCUCAUGACAACGGGCACACACGAGAUACACACAAGUCGUGAGCCAGGACACAUUUAACCAGUAUGUUGCAAGAUUUUGCUGACUAAGAGGUUCAAAACUUGUUGUGGGUCUAUGGCAAAGAACUUUUUUUAUUUUAUUUUUUUUAUGGAGACAACAUAUUGCAACACAACACCCACGUUUCGAUUAGAAAAGAGUUGAGUAUCAAAUCUCA